AGCCUUAAGUUGCAGCAAAAGAUUUCAAGCUAGCGAAAGCAGGCCUGUUACCUUUGCAGCAUCUAUUACAACUAAUCAAACAAAGGAGUUUAACUAAGCUCUUAAACUAAAACCAAAUUCUCAACGAUGGAUAUCUUGGUUCCCAUAACGAUGAAGAACGCAGCGAAGUGCGAUAAGCAGUGCGAAUUGCAGAACCGUGAGUCAUCAGAUUUUUGAACGCAACUGGCGCCGGCUGGCUAUCCAGCCGGCAUGCUUGUUUCAGUGUCUCGUUUUCUCCUCACCAAAAUCUUAAUGUGAGAGAUACCCUUCUCUUACUAAGUAUGAAAGCACUCUGUACCCUGCAGGCAGCCUUGAUUCGUCAAGGGUUGCACUCAAUGCAGCAGUCACAUUUUAUGUGAACUCAUUGAGAGUAGAGACAGCGCAGUUCAUCUGCACAAGUGCUUAGACC
This 448-nucleotide unclassified non-coding RNA is filed under the name Anteholosticha manca. Its description in RNAcentral is "partial contains ITS1, 5.8S rRNA and ITS2". The stretch from base 116 to 267 matches the Rfam family "5.8S ribosomal RNA". Lineage: Eukaryota; Ciliophora; Spirotrichea; Urostylida; Holostichidae. The record is from RNAcentral.